AUUUAUAUAGUUUAUAAUAAAACAUUACAUUUUCACUGUAAAAAUAAAAUCUAAUUUUUUAUAAAUA
RNAcentral lists this transfer RNA (67 nucleotides) under Parcoblatta lata. RNAcentral's name for it is "tRNA-Glu". It matches the Rfam family "tRNA". Rfam says of the family: Transfer RNA (tRNA) molecules are approximately 80 nucleotides in length. Their secondary structure includes four short double-helical elements and three loops (D, anti-codon, and T loops). Lineage: Eukaryota; Metazoa; Arthropoda; Insecta; Blattodea; Blattellidae. The record is from RNAcentral.